UUUCACUCUACUGCUAGGGUUUUCUUUGAUCUCUCUUCACACACGAAACACUACCGCCGUCAACGAAACAAAACAUUGCCACCGUCUACGAACCACCAUCGGCACCGAUCAUGUAUGAGUAUGCUCAUUGCAGAUGUUAAAGAAAGUUGGCAAAUGACUUAGUUUUAUAGAAACAAGGAUACACAUCACUUCCAGGUGAACAAAUUAAUCCUCUUAGAGAGUCGUCUGAAUUAAUUUUGCAGAGUGCGUUGCAGGCUUGGUGGAAAAUUUUGUAGAACUUAUCAUAUGAGAUUGUUGUAUAAAUUGUUGUUAG
Long non-coding RNA from Vicia villosa (hairy vetch), 313 nucleotides. RefSeq lists it as uncharacterized. The transcript is spliced from 3 exons. Lineage: Eukaryota; Viridiplantae; Streptophyta; Magnoliopsida; Fabales; Fabaceae. The record is from RefSeq and is a predicted model, not a curated record.